RNAcentral lists this ribosomal RNA (301 nucleotides) under uncultured bacterium. RNAcentral's name for it is "partial 16S ribosomal RNA". It matches the Rfam family "Bacterial small subunit ribosomal RNA", at positions 509 to 807 of the family's 1533-position model. The record is from RNAcentral.
CAGUAGCCGCGGUAAUACGUAGGUGGCAAGCGUUGUCCGGAAUUAUUGGGCGUAAAGCGCGCGCAGGUGGUUUAAUAAGUCUGAUGUGAAAGCCCACAGCUCAACCGUGGAGGGUCAUUGGAAACUGUUAAACUUGAGUGCAGGAGAGAAAAGUGGAAUUCCUAGUGUAGCGGUGAAAUGCGUAGAGAUUAGGAGGAACACCAGUGGCGAAGGCGGCUUUUUGGCCUGUAACUGACACUGAGGCGCGAAAGCGUGGGGAGCAAACAGGAUUAGAUACCCCAGUAGUCCCUGUCUCUUAUAC